RNAcentral lists this long non-coding RNA (770 nucleotides) under Nicotiana benthamiana. Its description in RNAcentral is "long non-coding RNA (NBEN_LNC013710)". The record is from RNAcentral. Lineage: Eukaryota; Viridiplantae; Streptophyta; Magnoliopsida; Solanales; Solanaceae.
GCUUUGCUCAAAAUUAAUUCUGGGUCUUAAAAUAGGGGGUCUAGGCACUGUGGCCUGAUUAAACCCAACUGAGUGCUUGUUUGCAUGAACAUUAAAAGACAUAGAAUCUGGACUGAUUUGAGAAAUAGAUUGAACUUGUCUUUGUUUCUCAUCAUGAAGCACUAUGUUGUAAACAUUGUCAAGGGAAGGAAAUGGCUGCAUCAUCAACAUAUUACUCCUAACCCCCAUGUAUACUUCAUUUAACCCCAUAAGGAACUGGAAUACCUUGUUUUCAUCAUCUUCCUCAAUUAUUCCAUUUUUAGCAGCACACACACAUCUAUGCCCAUGAUUUGUGCACAUUGCGCCCAAUUCAUCCCACAAGCCUUUGAGCUUGUUAAAUUAUGAGGCUAUGUCUAAGGAGCCUUGAGAUGUGUGUGAAAGUUUCCUUUUUAAUUCAAAAAUAUUGGUCUUGUUAGGGGUACCAUAUCUUUUCUCAAUUUGGGACCAUAUACUCUGUGCAGUGUCAGAAUACUGCACACUAUCAGCAAUUUGAGGAGACAGGGAGGAGGUCAACCAGGAAAUGACCAUGUUAUUACACCUAUCCCACAGUCUCUGUUGAGNNNNNNNNNNNNNNNNNNNNNNNUAUCAGCAAUUUGAGGAGACAAGGAGGAGGUCAACCAGGAAAUGACCAUGUUAUUACAUCUAUCCCACAGUCUCUGUUGAGCCACAUUAGUGGAAGGACGAGGAGAUGAACCGUCAACAAAUCUGAUUUUGUUUUUAGCAUAUAAAGC